This 70-nucleotide signal recognition particle RNA is filed under the name Ascidiaceihabitans sp. Its description in RNAcentral is "signal recognition particle sRNA small type". It matches the Rfam family "Bacterial small signal recognition particle RNA", at positions 12 to 81 of the family's 97-position model. Rfam says of the family: The signal recognition particle (SRP) is a universally conserved ribonucleoprotein involved in the co-translational targeting of proteins to membranes. Archaeal SRP consists of a 7S RNA and homologues of the eukaryotic SRP19 and SRP54 proteins. Lineage: Bacteria; Pseudomonadati; Pseudomonadota; Alphaproteobacteria; Rhodobacterales; Paracoccaceae. The record is from RNAcentral.
GCGGGCAAGCGCCUCGCCAACCCGGUCAGAUCCGGAAGGAAGCAGCCGUAACGAGUCCCGUUUGGGUCGU